This 253-nucleotide ribosomal RNA is filed under the name uncultured bacterium. Its description in RNAcentral is "partial 16S ribosomal RNA". It matches the Rfam family "Bacterial small subunit ribosomal RNA", at positions 524 to 776 of the family's 1533-position model. The record is from RNAcentral.
UACAGAGGGUGCAAGCGUUGUUCGGAAUUACUGGGCGUAAAGCGUACGUAGGCGGCUUUGUAAGUUAGAGGUGAAAGCCUGGUGCUCAACACCAGAACUGCCUUUAAGACUGCAUCGCUUGAACGUCGGAGAGGUGAGUGGAAUUCCGAGUGUAGAGGUGAAAUUCGUAGAUAUUCGGAAGAACACCAGUGGCGAAGGCGGCUCACUGGACGACUGUUGACGCUGAGGUACGAAAGCGUGGGGAGCAAACAGG